This 555-nucleotide non-coding RNA is filed under the name Pan troglodytes (chimpanzee). The record is from RNAcentral. Lineage: Eukaryota; Metazoa; Chordata; Mammalia; Primates; Hominidae.
UUGUUUUCUAAUUUAGAGACUUGCAUCUUUUCGACACUCAACAGUAUCAAGACACUCUGCUACUACAGAUUGAUUUCCACCAUCAACACCUUUACCUCUUCCCGCCUGAAAAUAAAAUAUGAAAUAUAACAAGUAAAUCGCAAUCUACCUUGCACAGAAUCUUCUGGAGAGGGAAAGAAGAAACCAUGUCUAGACAAGGUGCUGGAAAGACCCAGGGAAGACACAGGGAAAUCAUCUUUUGGGAAUUUAUCUAAGAAGAACUUCUUAUGAUAUAUGAAGUCUGGGGGUAAGACCUGCAGUAAUUUCCCUUAAGAUACUACAGAAUUUCCAAGGACUUGAGGAAUAAUUGCACUCUUGAAACAGCCUAUGAAAAAAGAAGAGACUUGGGAAAUUUAACAGAAGUUCACUUUCCACCACUGUGCAAACUAAGGAAAAACUUACAGCAGUAAAUAGCUGUGGUUGGCAAAGCUGUUUUGGCUCAGGAGCAGCUAUCAGGCCUUGAUAAGGUCGACAAGUCUGCUGUUCUAAAAUAAAAACAAAACAAACAAACAAAAA